Molecule: ribosomal RNA, 253 nt
Filed under: uncultured bacterium
Lineage: Bacteria
Description: partial 16S ribosomal RNA
Rfam family: Bacterial small subunit ribosomal RNA
Source: RNAcentral
UACGUAGGUGGCAAGCGUUGUCCGGAUUUAUUGGGUUUAAAGGGUGCGUAGGCGGUCUUUUAAGUCAGUGGUGAAAUACUUCAGCUCAACUGGAGAGGUGCCAUUGAUACUGGGGGACUUGAGUACUGAUGAGGUAGGCGGAAUGGACGGUGUAGCGGUGAAAUGCUUAGAUAUCGUCCAGAACACCGAUAGCGAAGGCAGCUUACUAAGGAGUAACUGACGCUGAGGCACGAAAGUGUGGGGAUCAAACAGG